UGGGGAAUUUUGGACAAUGGGCGAAAGCCUGAUCCAGCAAUGCCGCGUGUGUGAAGAAGGCCUUCGGGUUGUAAAGCACUUUUGUCCGGAAAGAAAUCCUUGGCUCUAAUACAGUCGGGGGAUGACGGUACCGGAAGAAUAAGCACCGGCUAACUACGUGCCAGCAGCCGCGGUAAUACGUAGGGUGCAAGCGUUAAUCGGAAUUACUGGGCGUAAAGCGUGCGCAGGCGGUUUGCUAAGACCGAUGUGAAAUCCCCGGGCNCAACCUGGGAACUGCAUUGGUGACUGGCAGGCUAGAGUAUGGCAGAGGGGGGUAGAAUUCCACGUGUAGCAGUGAAAUGCGUAGAGAUGUGGAGGAAUACCGAUGGCGAAGGCAGCCCCCUGGGCCAAUACUGACGCUCAUGCACGAAAGCGUGGGGAGCAAACAGGAUUAGAUACCCUGGUAGUCCACGCCCUAAACGAUGUCAACUAGUUGUUGGGGAUUCAUUUCCUUAGUAACGUAGCUAACGCGUGAAGUUGACCGCCUGGGGGAGUACGGUCGCAAGAUU
This 548-nucleotide ribosomal RNA is filed under the name uncultured bacterium. RNAcentral's name for it is "partial 16S ribosomal RNA". It matches the Rfam family "Bacterial small subunit ribosomal RNA", at positions 355 to 895 of the family's 1533-position model. The record is from RNAcentral.